AAUUCGAAGGGAAUGUCGCCGAUCGGAACCACCGAUCAACCUGAUGAUUCACUCCUUGGUGGGUCAGGUUCACCUGAGAGAACGUACAGUGAUUGGAGCACGUGACCGUUACGUUGUCUGCCACUUGUUUUCAUUUUUCUUUUGUCCCCACGAGAAAUUUCUACACUUACCCGCGUGUCAUCCUUGUUCCGUGUACGUUACUUUUCUUGGCGUAGACAAGGUGAAUUAAUUAAUGGCGUUUAUUAUACGGAGGCUUCGAGGUGAGACCAAAGAGAUGAUGAAGAAGAGGAAAAGGAAGACAACAAGGAGGACACGAUGGAGGCGGAAGAAUAAUAUCCACACAUGGGAGCCGCCCACGUUUGCUUUUCUCAGCGUUCCACCAUUUCUUUGGCGCUCUUGGAUCGGGCCAAGAUGUCGACGCAAAAACACUUCUCGAAACCCACUUCUCUUGCAGGGUCGCCAACGCUGCUAACAAACAUAUAAACAUAGAUAUAACGUUACUGCCUGAACGAACGUUGCUAGAAGUCGAGAAUGUUCUUUUGAUGCUUUUGGCAUGUUGGUAGUUCUAAUAUAUUUCUUACGUAUCAUGAGUUGACACUACAGUUUUGUCAGAUUACAUACAGCUAUAACAUAGCAUGUUACACUAUUUAGAUAUAAAUUAUACAUCUAUGAAGAUACAACAAUCUUAAGCAAUACAUUUGGAUUCUUAUUUUCUGACUACUUGAGUAUUUAAAUUCCCUAGGUUAUCCAACUGGUGUAUAGUGAAUGACACUAAACAGCUAUUGAUGAUUUAACGUUACUGAAUAUUCUGUAAAUACUGUAGGACUUUAGAAGCAUCUUAAAGUACUUAUUGAUGUUUGAAUGUACAAAAGAUUUUGUAAUAAUUUCAAAGGAUUGCUUCUUUGAUUACAUUGAUUCAAGAAAGCCUUCGCUCAGGCACUAGGGUUUAGUGAAAUGAAAGAGACCGAAGGAAAUUAAUGCUUCUACGUAAUGACUUCACUUAAGAAAUAGUUGUUGGUGAUCGAUUAAAAAUCAAUAUCUACUUAAAUCUAUCUUCGACAACAGUAAUAACAGCAUUGAAGAUCCUUGCACAAUCAUUGCCAUAUGGGAUACUCUCUUCAGCCUUAAUAGUCCACUACUUCUUCAAGGCACAUUCACAUGGUAACUUGUACAACUAUGGCGCAGGUUGCACGCUAUUUUACAUAGCAGUGUACAGUUUAAUCGACGACCCUGGCUCACUGACCCUUUUAGCCUGAACCUUCGUCUCGCCUCGUAAACAGCGAAUGUUGCAAGAGUGUAGCUGCAACAUAAACGUCUUAUAUUUGUGUGUGAAUUAAAUAAAAUUCCAUUCAAUCAAUUGCAUUUGUCCCCGAAAAAUAACAGAUACCAAAUGACAGAAUGAAGACCAGUCAUAGAACAAAGAAUGAGCAAAAACAAGAGUGAAACGAAUCAACUUAACUGACGUUGCCAUUGUCACAGGACGCGACAAUAACAAGGCAUCAACCCUUUAUGAGGGUUUUGGAAAAUUGGAGUCAGGCCAACUUUCCAAAUUCGGUACGAUGACUAAGAGGACAGCCUACCGCCACCAAUC
Molecule: long non-coding RNA, 1591 nt
Organism: Cephus cinctus (wheat stem sawfly)
Lineage: Eukaryota; Metazoa; Arthropoda; Insecta; Hymenoptera; Cephidae
Exons: 3
Source: RefSeq, a predicted model, not a curated record